This 460-nucleotide ribosomal RNA is filed under the name uncultured bacterium. RNAcentral describes it as "partial 16S ribosomal RNA". It matches the Rfam family "Bacterial small subunit ribosomal RNA", at positions 338 to 795 of the family's 1533-position model. The record is from RNAcentral.
CCUACGGGAGGCUGCAGUGAGGAAUAUUGGUCAAUGGACGAGAGUCUGAACCAGCCAAGUAGCGUGAAGGAUGACUGCCCUAUGGGUUGUAAACUUCUUUUAUAUGGGAGUAAAAUGUUCCACGUGUGGGAUUUUGUAUGUACCAUAUGAAUAAGGAUCGGCUAACUCCGUGCCAGCAGCCGCGGUAAUACGGAGGAUCCGAGCGUUAUCCGGAUUUAUUGGGUUUAAAGGGAGCGUAGGUGGAUUGUUAAGUCAGUUGUGAAAGUUUGCGGCUCAACCGUAAAAUUGCAGUUGAAACUGGCAGGCUUGAGUACAGGAGAGGUGGGCGGAAUUCGUGGUGUAGCGGUGAAAUGCUUAGAUAUCACGAAGAACUCCGAUUGCGAAGGCAGCUCACUGGACUGCAACUGACACUGAGGCUCGAAAGUGUGGGUAUCAAACAGGAUUAGAUACCCGGGUAGUC